This is a non-coding RNA of Caenorhabditis elegans, 56 nucleotides long. The record is from Ensembl. NCBI's taxonomy places the organism in Eukaryota, Metazoa, Nematoda, Chromadorea, Rhabditida, Rhabditidae.
GUCACACAUGUUUAUGAAUAUGAGCGAUGGAUGGAUGUGUUGUGUGAAUGUGCAAU